CAGGGAAUGAGGAGCAGAGAGUGGAAGAAGGUGGAGGAGGUGUUUUGUGGUGGCUCUGGGAUGCUUUCCUUGGCUCUUCUCCAGAGGAGCCCAUGGUUUUCACUCCAGAGGAGUUGGGUGUCGCCUCUGAACGAGGGACUGAACAGGCUGAGGAAGCUGCAGAGGCUGUUGAGGUCCCCACUGACACUCCAGGAGCAAGUUCAUCAGAAGCUUUAUCAAAACCUGUGGGCACAGUCAGAACUCAGUCCCUGCCUGAGAGCAUGGUAAACACAACCGCCACUGUAAAAGUCUCCAAACCCGAGUCCCCGCAGAAAUGUGUAGUCUCCUAGAUCUAGAACUUGUUUGUCUGGAUACUUUUCGCUUCUUCUUGAUCACAGCAUCCAACCUCCAGCUUCUGCUAGAGCCAUGUCUAGAAAGGCCCAGACUUAGAGGCAAGCCUAGACAGCAAUUCUUUUAGUGUGAGCUUAAGACUUAUUAUUGUUUUCUAGAGCCUUACCCAGGACUCUCAUUUAAUGCAAUUUUUUUUUCCUUACCAAACUGUGGAAUUCUUACUUCAGGCUUGAGGCCUGAUCUACAGCAUCAGAUACGUCCACAACCUUUUCUGGAUCUUACCGCUUCCUUUGCAUCCAGACAUAAAAAGCCAAUUCUAGAAACAAGGCUUCUUUAAGAUCGAGGUCAACAUUGCCCUAGACUAAAGUUUAUGACCCUUCCUCUAGAGCUCUUUAUGCGUUAUCAAGCCAGCUAAGGAGGUUUGGACUUUUUUCUAGAGGUAAUGCAAUUCAAUACAACUGAACCGUACAACCCCAGUCUUCCAGACCCAAACCCCAGAACAAGAAUUUCAACAAUGGCUUGUUCUAGAACAGACAAAGUUUUUCAGAUUCAAUCCAAAUCUCUUCUAGAAUCAAGUCAUACUUUCCACCCUUUUCUGGAAUCUUGUAGAACAAAACCUGAAGCUUACUUUAAAUCUUUCCUGAAUCUUUUGAAUAACAGCUAAACUUGGAACACCCUUUUUUCCUCUAGAGACAAAUCUAGAACACCAGUUACAACCUGUUCUAGAACUACCUUUUUUUUCUAGAACGAACAGUUUUUCUAGACUUAACCAAAGAACUCGUGCUUUGGAAUCCAGUCUAAAUGUCGUUGCUUCUUUAGAAUCUUGUGGAACAAGAGGCGAAACUUGCUGACACCUUUUCUAGAGCUUUUGUUUUUUUUUCUACAAACUCUUUGCUUUAUUUAGAACUAAACCUAGAACCCUCCUCUCCCUAGAACCCAUAAACACUGUAUUAUCAAACCUAGACCCCCCUAGUUUUAAACCCUCUAGUCUUCUAGAAAUGUCUCACUUCCAGUCCUCAGUGCAUUUACAUGGCAGGAAUUUCCAGAUAUUGGCUUCUGACAGUUUAGAGCUGUGGACAUUAUGUUUACAUUGGACGUCUGGUUUUGAAUCAGUGUUUUUGUUGAAUGAUGGAGAGUAAAGUAGACGAUGAGGACUGAGUAAUUAAAUCAGAUCAGAUGUGUGCCAAAUAUGUUCUUUUUACAAGUAUUUGUGUUUACAUGAAGGACUACUGAGCCCGCCUAUCCUCAGUGAAAUUCUGCUCAGUCAUUGACAAGUACUCACCACUGAGAUGUGGUUUGACAUGACUCAGCACAUUUUAUGCAACUAUGUGAGAAGUGGUUGGCAGGGUGAUGGGUACUAUUUUACCAGACUUUGUGAGCAGACUGAUAGUAUUUAGCAUGUGAGGUGGAUGGUUUUUAGCAAUCUGCUCUGAAAUAAGCUUUUGCAUGGACCUCUGAAUCUGAUGGGUUAAUAUGUUUUUAUAAAAGGCAGACAGAAAUGUACUAAUAGGCUUAUUUUUGCUGAACCAUGUUUUUAUGUAUCAUAUAUGAAAUAGUGAUUUGAAAGUGAAUCUUUUCUCAUGUAUUAUCCGAGCGCAACAUAAACAGAGUAUAUCUGUUCAGUUAAACUCCUGUGUGCUUGCUUGUAUGCAUCGACAACUUGUAUAUCCAUAACUGCUGAAUAUGAUAAUUGAUUGUUGGAGAUUUUAUAAUUGAGAAAAUGACCUUCAUUAAGAUGACUGUUGACCAUGAAAAUGCACUGGUUUGACAUGAUUACUGAUUAACACACUGCUGUGGGCAGGGGGAAACCAUGUAACUCCAAUUUUAGUAUUAGAUUAGUAUUGAUUGAUGAAUUGUAAGGAUUGUGUUUAGCUCAUCAAAAAUUAUGUUACUUGCUUUAAUGCAAAUUUCUUGAAAACUCAUUUAUGACUAAAGCACUUCAUCUAUAUCAGUAACAGAACCCUUGAAGCUGUCAAUUUGGAGAUUCAAGGUUUUCACCUGAAGCAGCAGUACUGAGAUGUCUUACAUUACAUGGCAUGUUGCUGUACUUGUACCUUGUUCCACUUGUUUCCCCUUUCAUGCUGUCUACAUAUCCAAACAAAAGCACAAAGACAAAUAAAGACACAACAGUGAUCCACUC
Long non-coding RNA from Notolabrus celidotus (New Zealand spotty), 2470 nucleotides. RefSeq lists it as uncharacterized. The transcript is spliced from 3 exons. NCBI's taxonomy places the organism in Eukaryota, Metazoa, Chordata, Actinopteri, Labriformes, Labridae. The record is from RefSeq and is a predicted model, not a curated record.